ACUAAUAGUUGGUCUCCUUUUUGUUAUCACAAUACACCUGCUGUUCUAAACAAUGCCAGUAAGAAAAUACUCAUCCAAAAAAAAAAAAAUCCUUGUUUUGCCUGAGUUCUAAAUAAUUACUACAGUUACUAUUAGGUUUUCAUAAUGUACGUGUAAGCUUUAAAUUAGCAAUUUUAAAAUUAUUUAUCUUUUAAUAAACAUUGUAUUCUACAUGGACGUUAACUUGGAGUACUCCGUUCUACAGUUGUACCCAGACACACACAGACCCAACUACCUGUGAUUUUUCUAGGGUUGAAACUUCCUAGCUCAUCAAAUACAACACAAUCCCAAUGGGAGAGAUUGAGGUUGGAUAUAUCUUCCAAAGAAUGCCACUUUCUAAAAAGGAUAGUGUUUCCACUGCAACAGUUUCAGUUCCCUGGAUAGAAUCUUCUGCUCAUGUCCACUUACAAGCAGAUUUUCUUCCAUCUCUGCCACUCCUGAGAUAGCAAGACCAACCCCUCCUCUUCCUCCUCAACCUACUCAAUGUGAAGAUGAUGAGGAUGAAGGCCUUUAUGAUGAUCCACUUCCACUUAAUGAAUAUGAAAAUCAAGAGGCUGGGCCUUGAAGCAUCUCAGCAAGCAUGACGUCCUCUACACCAUACCCUCUGGCCUGGGGUUCAGCAGUCUUCACCAUUCCCAUUCCCUGAACCCCUCAAAAUCAGGAAUACAGGGAAGUCAGAGGGAAUGACAGAUUCUUCCAAAUGAGAAGAAAAAAACAAGAGUAAACUAACGAUGUUCGUUUUACUAGCCCUGUCUAAGCAGGUAAAUGCACUUUUAGGAUUCUAGCUAAGGGAUUUUUUUUAAACAAUGAUAAAAUGAACAUAACAUAAAAUUUACUAUUUUAACCAUUUUUAAGUAUACAGUUCAAUGGUAUUAAGUAUAUUAAUAGUGUUGUGCAACCAUCACCAUCAUCUAUCUUCAGAACUUUCUCAUCCUCCCAAACAGAAAUACUGUACCCAUUAAAUAAUAUCUCCCCAUUCUCCUCAUACUCUUAGCUCCCCUGACAACCAACCACCUUCUCUACUUUCUGUCUCUGAACUUGACUCACAGGUACCUCAGUGGAAUCAUACAGUAUUUUUCCUUUUAUGACUGGAUUAUUUCUCUUAGCAUAAUAUCUUCAAGAUUCACGCAUGUUGUAGGAUAUGUCAGAAUUUCUUUCCUUUUUAAGGACAAAUAAUGUUCCAUUAUCUGUAUAUCCAAGGUUUGUCAUCCAUUCAUCAGUCAAUAGACAGUUGGGUUGCUUCUGCCUUUUGGCUUUUGUGAAUAAUGCUGCUAUGAAUACGGGUGUACAAAUAUUGCCUCAAGACCCUGCUUUCAAUUCUUUUGGUUAUAUACCGGGAGUAGCAUUGCUGGAUCACAAGGUCAUUCUAUUUAAAUUUUUUAGGAACUGCCAUACUGUUUUCCACAGUGGCUCCUCCAUUUUACAUCCCUAUCAAUAAUGCAUAGGGGUUCCAAAUUCUCCACAUCCUCAUCAACAUUUGUUAUUUUCCGUUGUUUUUUUUUUUUUU
RNAcentral lists this long non-coding RNA (1546 nucleotides) under Homo sapiens (human). RNAcentral's name for it is "HSALNT0359469". Lineage: Eukaryota; Metazoa; Chordata; Mammalia; Primates; Hominidae. The record is from RNAcentral.